CGCUGGGAGCUGCUGGGAGCUGGCCUCUGUUGAGCUUAAUAGUUACUUUUGAGUUUGAGAAUGACAAUGGAGCUCGGACUCCGGGUCGUCUCGAGGACUAAGUUGGAGGUACACCCAUCCUAGAAAGUCAACGAACGAACAAGAUGCGCGAUGCAUCCUCUGUGUCAAAAAGGGAAGAGAAGCAGAGCCAGUUGGGGAUCCUUUUGGUCUCGGAUAGACCUUAGAUCGGCUUUGCAAACCUGUGUCAGUGCCAAAGACUUAAGCUGUUCAAGACUGAUCUAACACCCGAGGUAGCAGUAAAUAAGAUUUAGGAAAAUUCUUUAGGACGGAAGUGACUCAAAACCAAAAUGGAGUUAGCCAGGUCUGUUCCUAAGCCCUCCAAGUCUAUACCCACAAACCAUUAUUUCAUUGCAUUACUUAUGGACACGGAACUAAGGUUGAGCUAAGUUAUAUUAAUACUAACGAGAACAUCGAAAAGUUUAGCUUUCCUUUAUGUUCUCAUUCAAGUCAAUAAAUGUAAUAAAAACUAUAGAAAACUGU
Long non-coding RNA from Grammomys surdaster, 540 nucleotides. RefSeq lists it as uncharacterized. The record is from RefSeq and is a predicted model, not a curated record. The transcript has 2 exons. NCBI's taxonomy places the organism in Eukaryota, Metazoa, Chordata, Mammalia, Rodentia, Muridae.